RNAcentral lists this ribosomal RNA (1399 nucleotides) under Bacillus sp. m3-13. Its description in RNAcentral is "bacterial SSU rRNA". It matches the Rfam family "Bacterial small subunit ribosomal RNA". The record is from RNAcentral. Lineage: Bacteria; Bacillati; Bacillota; Bacilli; Caryophanales; Bacillaceae.
AUACAUGCAAGUCGAGCGGACCUUUUAAAAGCUUGCUUUUGAAAGGUCAGCGGCGGACGGGUGAGUAACACGUGGGCAACCUGCCUGUAAGACUGGGAUAACUUCGGGAAACCGGAGCUAAUACCGGAUAAUAUAAGGAACCUCCUGGUUCUUUAUUGAAAGAUGGUUUCGGCUAUCACUUACAGAUGGGCCCGCGGCGCAUUAGCUAGUUGGUGAGGUAAUGGCUCACCAAGGCGACGAUGCGUAGCCGACCUGAGAGGGUGAUCGGCCACACUGGGACUGAGACACGGCCCAGACUCCUACGGGAGGCAGCAGUAGGGAAUCUUCCACAAUGGACGAAAGUCUGAUGGAGCAACGCCGCGUGAGCGAUGAAGGCCUUCGGGUCGUAAAGCUCUGUUGUUAGGGAAGAACAAGUGCGAGAGUAACUGCUCGCACCUUGACGGUACCUAACCAGAAAGCCACGGCUAACUACGUGCCAGCAGCCGCGGUAAUACGUAGGUGGCAAGCGUUGUCCGGAAUUAUUGGGCGUAAAGCGCGCGCAGGUGGUCCUUUAAGUCUGAUGUGAAAGCCCACGGCUCAACCGUGGAGGGUCAUUGGAAACUGGGGGACUUGAGUGCAGAAGAGGAAAGUGGAAUUCCAAGUGUAGCGGUGAAAUGCGUAGAGAUUUGGAGGAACACCAGUGGCGAAGGCGACUUUCUGGUCUGUAACUGACACUGAGGCGCGAAAGCGUGGGGAGCAAACAGGAUUAGAUACCUGGUAGUCCACGCCGUAAACGAUGAGUGCUAAGUGUUAGAGGGUUUCCGCCCUUUAGUGCUGCAGCUAACGCAUUAAGCACUCCGCCUGGGGAGUACGGUCGCAAGACUGAAACUCAAAGGAAUUGACGGGGGCCCGCACAAGCGGUGGAGCAUGUGGUUUAAUUCGAAGCAACGCGAAGAACCUUACCAGGUCUUGACAUCCUCUGACACUCCUAGAGAUAGGACGUUCCCCUUCGGGGGACAGAGUGACAGGUGGUGCAUGGUUGUCGUCAGCUCGUGUCGUGAGAUGUUGGGUUAAGUCCCGCAACGAGCGCAACCCUUGAUCUUAGUUGCCAGCAUUCAGUUGGGCACUCUAAGGUGACUGCCGGUGACAAACCGGAGGAAGGUGGGGAUGACGUCAAAUCAUCAUGCCCCUUAUGACCUGGGCUACACACGUGCUACAAUGGACGGUACAAAGGGCAGCAAAACCGCGAGGUCGAGCCAAUCCCAUAAAACCGUUCUCAGUUCGGAUUGCAGGCUGCAACUCGCCUGCAUGAAGCCGGAAUCGCUAGUAAUCGCGGAUCAGCAUGCCGCGGUGAAUACGUUCCCGGGCCUUGUACACACCGCCCGUCACACCACGAGAGUUUGUAACACCCGAAGUCGGU